This is a long non-coding RNA of Liolophura sinensis, 667 nucleotides long. RefSeq lists it as uncharacterized. The record is from RefSeq and is a predicted model, not a curated record. NCBI's taxonomy places the organism in Eukaryota, Metazoa, Mollusca, Polyplacophora, Chitonida, Chitonidae. The transcript is spliced from 4 exons.
CACUGGGGCUAUUCAUUAACCAUUUAACAGAUCUGCGGAAACUUCCAUAUACGCUAUACGUCGACCUCCCAGAUAUCUCGUCGAGAUGCAGGCACCAACACUUAUCAUCUUGCUGAUUGUUCUGGGUUUAACCCAGGGUGGUAUCUUAUCAGAGGUCACAAGGUUGGCGCCACCGUGUCCUGCUGUGUCUACCCCGGCCUGGCCAAUCAACUGUAAAAACGUCAAGAUCCGAACAUUUCAGUGGUUUGGACGUACGUGCCAGGGUGACCCAUACUGCGCGGAUUGAAGUGUCUCGAUGCUACACCUUCGGCACACGAACUGGAGACAGCAGGUCAUUUGCAUGGAUAUUAAGAGGGAAUUGUAUUGAGUUUGAACAGAUUUUGCUAAAACCAAUAAAGGUGAAAAGAUAUUUUGAAAACUGUUUUAUCUUGCUAUUAAUAAGUCUGCGCAUCGUGUAACCUGUUUGAAAUGACCGAUGAUGGAUUGAUUGAUUGAUUGAUUGUUGUUUAAUGGUAUGCUCAUAAGAUUAUUAGACAGCCGUCAGUUUAAUAGGUGAAGGAAAUCUAUGUGCCCUUGGAAAACUGUACUGGUCAUUAUAUCAUUUGAAGACUUCGCUGACUAUUAGACAAUUGGAAAAUUAUACUGGUUAUUAAAUAAUUGGAAAACU